Molecule: ribosomal RNA, 468 nt
Filed under: uncultured bacterium
Lineage: Bacteria
Description: partial 16S ribosomal RNA
Rfam family: Bacterial small subunit ribosomal RNA
Source: RNAcentral
GACGAACGCUGGCGGCGUGCUUAACACAUGCAAGUCGAACGGAAAGGCCCUGCUUUUGUGGGGUGCUCGAGUGGCGAACGGGUGAGUAACACGUGAGUAACCUGCCCUUGACUUUGGGAUAACUUCAAGAAACUGGGGCUAAUACCGGAUAGGAGCUCCUGCUGCUUGGUGGGGGUUGGAAAGUUUCGGCGGUUGGGGUUGGACUCGCGGCUUAUCAGCUUGUUGGUGGGGUAGUGGCUUACCAAGGCUUUGACGGGUAGCCGGCCUGUGAGGGUGACCGGCCACAUUGGGACUGAGAUACGGCCCAGACUCCUACGGGAGGCAGCAGUGGGGAAUAUUGCACAAUGGGCGGAAGCCUGAUGCAGCAACGCCGCGUGCGGGAUGACGGCCUUCGGGUUGUAAACCGCUUUCGCCUGUGACGAAGCGUGAGUGACGGUAAUGGGUAAAGAAGCACCGGCUAACUACGUG